CAACUUUUUAACCCACACUCAUUUUAACCAAUCACAUAAUCGAUGUUAUCUCAAUUAUUCUUUUUUAACCUCCAAAUCCUCAAUUGAAGGCACCACCCAAUCCUUAUCCUCCUACCUUAAAUUUGCUUUUACCUACAACCGUUAAAAUGCUCAAACGCAACGAGCAUUAUCACGGGUAGACGUUGGUUCCAAACCAGUAAGGGUUAGCUCAAUCCUCUAACCCACAUAGGGGUGGGCCUGAGUUACGCUGUGGGUUGGGCCAACCCAUGCUCUAAGUAAAUAUUUAGAGUACACUAAUGUAAAAACUGCUAAAGCAGAAUGUUUUUCGAAAAUGAUGGUUCUGUUACUUGUGUACAGUCGCUCCCAGGCUUCAAUUUCGACACAACAGUCAACAGAACGAGAUGGGUACCCGCGCAAUGCAGCGACGGUGACGGUAACGGGUAGUGCUAGUGGCGGUGGUGGUAACGAUAUUGUUAUUAAUCUAAAAUUGGUUUUAAAAUACUCCAUGUCAACUAAAGGUGCUUUUGGCAGAAGUUGAAGGUUUGAACACAAAAAUUGCCAAGUUGAAUUACAAGCUUAGAGAAUUCAAAAAGGAAGAGGAGAUAAAACUCAAAACCCAGAAUGAAGAAUCAAUAUUAAGCGCAUCCAUUGCUAUUCUUAAGAACAGGGUCGAAAUGGCUAAAAUUGCUAAAGAAAUGGGUUGUAAGCAUGCGGGUUGGAAUAUCAAAACCUGGGAAAAGACUUUGGCUGGUCUGGUUAUCAAAGAAGUUACCAAUGAUAUUUCAUCUCCUUUAAUUUGCUCAAAAAGUCUAAAAGGCUAAAAAAGAAAGAUGCAGGAGGAAAGGGUUUUUCAGAAGAUGAUGAGGAUACAAUCCAGAUUGAAUAGUAGUAAGGAUACUACUUUUUAAUGAUCCCUGAUGUUUGUUUAGUUAUGUAUGAACUUGAUCUUUUUUCUAUUUUCGUUGAACGUUCGUGUCCCCAAUAAAUAAUGUUUUAAACUAUGUUACGUUUGUUAUCGAAAUGUCAGGAGACUAUU
Molecule: RNA transcript, 1036 nt
Organism: Erigeron canadensis
Lineage: Eukaryota; Viridiplantae; Streptophyta; Magnoliopsida; Asterales; Asteraceae
Exons: 3
Source: RefSeq, a predicted model, not a curated record